GGAAGGGUGCCGGAGUGGUCUAACGGAGCGGUCUUGAAAACCGUCGCGGUGCAAGCCGCCGGGGGUUCAAAUCCCUCCCCUUCCGCCA
RNAcentral lists this transfer RNA (88 nucleotides) under Bacillota bacterium. Its description in RNAcentral is "Firmicutes bacterium (anaerobic digester metagenome) tRNA-Ser". It matches the Rfam family "tRNA". From Rfam's summary of the family: Transfer RNA (tRNA) molecules are approximately 80 nucleotides in length. Their secondary structure includes four short double-helical elements and three loops (D, anti-codon, and T loops). Lineage: Bacteria; Bacillati; Bacillota. RNAcentral also lists the same sequence under 1 other name. The record is from RNAcentral.